Pseudophryne corroboree (corroboree frog) is the source of this 663-nucleotide long non-coding RNA. RefSeq lists it as uncharacterized. NCBI's taxonomy places the organism in Eukaryota, Metazoa, Chordata, Amphibia, Anura, Myobatrachidae. The transcript is spliced from 4 exons. The record is from RefSeq and is a predicted model, not a curated record.
UCUUCAGUGGGAGUGGUUAGUGGUAUAUAAUGCCCCACCAUUCACACAGUCAGUCAGUUGCACUUGGGAGAGCACAUAGGAACUACUGCUGUAUCUGUAAGUAUAGGACUUGGUCCCCUUUUUUCAAUUUAUAUUUAUUUUUAUUAUGAGAAUCUAAUUAAUAGUAGUUUAUUUAAUUCUAAUCAAUUAGUAAUUGGAUAGAAGGGGAAAAGGAGGAAAAAGGGAGAGAAAAAUAAUAAUAAUUAAAAAAAAAAAUCCACCCUAAUAGAUUAUAUCAAUUAAUGAUUUUCAGGUGGCCUAUUUCUCUCACACAUCAUUAUUUUGAGGCUCACCCAAAGUGGGAUAUUUACCCAUAUACCAUUUGGACCAGCGUGUUUUUUGGAAAGAGGUCCAUUGCUAAUUUAGUCUAAAGUGUUCAACACUAUUGAGCAUUAGAGUGUUUCAACCCAUUGAAUUCAUAUAUGGUUGCUUCAUGGACUGACCAUUUGCUGUGUUGACCAUCCCUCUGAAGAAGUCCACGAAGGACGAAACGCGUCAGGGUUGAAGACAGAGAGAAAAGAAACCCUACACUAUUGUACAUUUGACAUAUAUUGUGAUCUGUAAUUGUGAAAAAGGGUUACCUCUGUCUAGAUUGGGCAAUACUUUGCUUUUAAUAAAUUGUGU